AAGACUAUACUUUCAGGGAUCAUUUCUUUAGCUAUUAACUAGGAAAUGUACUAUGCUCGUGUUAAGUUUCCCAAACCACGAUGAUGACUGGUAAUGUAUUCCUCUGAGCGUGAAUCGGGUAGUAGUCUGUAAUAUAUUACGGAUAGCUAUUAUUGAUGACCGUUCAUUAGUUCUUCUCGAACUUAUGAGGAGGAGUACAUGAUCAGAGUGGU
Small nucleolar RNA from Megalobrama amblycephala (Wuchang bream), 212 nucleotides. RefSeq annotates it as small nucleolar RNA U3. The record is from RefSeq and is a predicted model, not a curated record. Lineage: Eukaryota; Metazoa; Chordata; Actinopteri; Cypriniformes; Xenocyprididae. The transcript has a single exon.